RNAcentral lists this unclassified non-coding RNA (443 nucleotides) under Hevea brasiliensis (rubber tree). The record is from RNAcentral. Lineage: Eukaryota; Viridiplantae; Streptophyta; Magnoliopsida; Malpighiales; Euphorbiaceae.
UUUGGAUGAAAAAUGCCAAGCUCUUGGCCCUGUUGACGUGCGUGAUUGUUCUAUUGCUGUACAUAAUAAUUGCUGCUGCUUGUGGAGGCAUCACUCUACCUUCAUGCAGGUCUUGAUUGGCUGUUUUACCGGCAUUGAAUAUGCUGAGGUAUGGUAAUGAAUUGUGAAAUUCUGCAGUGAGAUGUGAAAUUUUGAGUCUUUACGAGGAAUCUAUAUACCUCUACAAGGUGCCAGAAAUAAUACUGUAGUUUGUCAUGCUGUUGUUGCAUAUGGCACAAAUGAUAUAUGCUUUGAGAAGCCCUGUAUGCCUCACUUUUAUUGUCAUGAAUCAUCUGUGUAUACUGUAAUUUAAUGUUAGUUUUGGAAUAGAUAUUUUUUUCUAAUAGAAAAAUAUUGGAGUCCUUAAAUAUCAAAAAAUUACAGUAUACACAGAUGAUUCAUGA